GUUGUUCGGAAUUACUGGGCGUAAAGCGUACGUAGGCGGAUUAAUAAGUUAGAGGUGAAAUCCCAGGGCUCAACCCUGGAACUGCCUUUAAAACUGUUAGUCUUGAGAUCGAGAGAGGUGAGUGGAAUUCCAAGUGUAGAGGUGAAAUUCGUAGAUAUUUGGAGGAACACCAGUGGCGAAGGCGGCUCACUGGCUCGAUACUGACGCUGAGGUACGAAAGUGUGGGGAGCAAACAGGAUUAGAUACCCUGGUAGUCCACACCGUAAACGAUGAAUGCCAGACGUCAGCAAGCAUGCUUGUUGGUGUCACACCUAACGGAUUAAGCAUUCCGCCUGGGGAGUACGGCCGCAAGGUUAAAACUCAAAUGAAUUGACGGGGGCCCGCACAAGCGGUGGAGCAUGUGGUUUAAUUCGAUGCAACGCGAAGAACCUUACCUACUCUUGACAUACUAGAAACUUUUCAGAGAUGAAUUGGUGCCUUCGGGAAUCUAGAUACAGGUGCUGCAUGGCU
Molecule: ribosomal RNA, 510 nt
Filed under: uncultured Paracoccaceae bacterium
Lineage: Bacteria; Pseudomonadati; Pseudomonadota; Alphaproteobacteria; Rhodobacterales; Paracoccaceae
Description: bacterial SSU rRNA
Rfam family: Bacterial small subunit ribosomal RNA
Source: RNAcentral